Molecule: ribosomal RNA, 1568 nt
Filed under: Lacticaseibacillus paracasei subsp. paracasei
Lineage: Bacteria; Bacillati; Bacillota; Bacilli; Lactobacillales; Lactobacillaceae
Description: bacterial SSU rRNA
Rfam family: Bacterial small subunit ribosomal RNA
Source: RNAcentral
UUAUAUGAGAGUUUGAUCCUGGCUCAGGAUGAACGCUGGCGGCGUGCCUAAUACAUGCAAGUCGAACGAGUUCUCGUUGAUGAUCGGUGCUUGCACCGAGAUUCAACAUGGAACGAGUGGCGGACGGGUGAGUAACACGUGGGUAACCUGCCCUUAAGUGGGGAUAACAUUUGGAAACAGAUGCUAAUACCGCAUAGAUCCAAGAACCGCAUGGUUCUUGGCUGAAAGAUGGCGUAAGCUAUCGCUUUUGGAUGGACCCGCGGCGUAUUAGCUAGUUGGUGAGGUAAUGGCUCACCAAGGCGAUGAUACGUAGCCGAACUGAGAGGUUGAUCGGCCACAUUGGGACUGAGACACGGCCCAAACUCCUAUGGAGGCAGCAGUAGGGAAUCUUCCACAAUGGACGCAAGUCUGAUGGAGCAACGCCGCGUGAGUGAAGAAGGCUUUCGGGUCGUAAAACUCUGUUGUUGGAGAAGAAUGGUCGGCAGAGUAACUGUUGUCGGCGUGACGGUAUCCAACCAGAAAGCCACGGCUAACUACGUGCCAGCAGCCGCGGUAAUACGUAGGUGGCAAGCGUUAUCCGGAUUUAUUGGGCGUAAAGCGAGCGCAGGCGGUUUUUUAAGUCUGAUGUGAAAGCCCUCGGCUUAACCGAGGAAGCGCAUCGGAAACUGGGAAACUUGAGUGCAGAAGAGGACAGUGGAACUCCAUGUGUAGCGGUGAAAUGCGUAGAUAUAUGGAAGAACACCAGUGGCGAAGGCGGCUGUCUGGUCUGUAACUGACGCUGAGGCUCGAAAGCAUGGGUAGCGAACAGGAUUAGAUACCCUGGUAGUCCAUGCCGUAAACGAUGAAUGCUAGGUGUUGGAGGGUUUCCGCCCUUCAGUGCCGCAGCUAACGCAUUAAGCAUUCCGCCUGGGGAGUACGACCGCAAGGUUGAAACUCAAAGGAAUUGACGGGGGCCCGCACAAGCGGUGGAGCAUGUGGUUUAAUUCGAAGCAACGCGAAGAACCUUACCAGGUCUUGACAUCUUUUGAUCACCUGAGAUCAGGUUUCCCCUUCGGGGGCAAAAUGACAGGUGGUGCAUGGUUGUCGUCAGCUCGUGUCGUGAGAUGUUGGGUUAAGUCCCGCAACGAGCGCAACCCCUUAUGACUAGUUGCCAGCAUUUAGUUGGGCACUCUAGUAAGACUGCCGGUGACAAACCGGAGGAAGGUGGGGAUGACGUCAAAUCAUCAUGCCCCUUAUGACCUGGGCUACACACGUGCUACAAUGGAUGGUACAACGAGUUGCGAGACCGCGAGGUCAAGCUAAUCUCUUAAAGCCAUUCUCAGUUCGGACUGUAGGCUGCAACUCGCCUACACGAAGUCGGAAUCGCUAGUAAUCGCGGAUCAGCACGCCGCGGUGAAUACGUUCCCGGGCCUUGUACACACCGCCCGUCACACCAUGAGAGUUUGUAACACCCAGAAGCCGGUGGCGUAACCCUUUUAGGGAGCGAGCCGUCUAAGGUGGGACAAAUGAUUAGGGUGAAGUCGUAACAAGGUAGCCAUCGGAGAACCUGCGGCUGGAUCACCUCCUUU